AAGUCGUAACAAGGUUUCCGUAGGUGAACCUGCGGAAGGAUCAUUAAUGAAUGAUAAUUUUUUGGGGUUUUCCCUGAAAAAUAAUUCACCUUUUGUGCAUCGUUAUUAGAUAUACUUUGGUUAGUGCUUUGAUUUCCUUUUCUGAAGUCAACUUCUUGCUGACUCUAUCCUGUUAAGGACAGUUGGCUAUGAAGCGGCCUACCAAGGUUUUUUAUCAAACACAUUUAAUCCAACUGACCUAAAAACAAAUAAUUAAAUCAUAACUUUCAACAACGGAUCUCUUGGCUCUC
Molecule: unclassified non-coding RNA, 290 nt
Filed under: fungal sp.
Lineage: Eukaryota; Fungi
Description: partial internal transcribed spacer region
Rfam family: Eukaryotic small subunit ribosomal RNA (bases 1-46)
Source: RNAcentral